AUGAACGCUGGCGGCGUGCCUAAUACAUGCCAGUCGCGCGAACAGACGAGGAGCCUGCUCCUCUGACGUUAGCGGCGGACGGGUGAGUAACACGUGGAUAACCUACCUAUAAGACUGGGAUAACUUCGGGAAACCGGAGCUAAUACCGGAUAAUAUAUUGAACCGCAUGGUUCAAUAGUGAAAGACGGUUUUGCUGUCACUUAUAGAUGGAUCCGCGCCGCAUUAGCUAGUUGGUAAGGUAACGGCUUACCAAGGCAACGAUGCGUAGCCGACCUGAGAGGGUGAUCGGCCACACUGGAACUGAGACACGGUCCAGACUCCUACGGGAGGCAGCAGUAGGGAAUCUUCCGCAAAGGGCGAAAGCCUGACGGAGCAACGCCGCGUGAGUGAUGAAGGUCUUCGGAUCGUAAAACUCUGUUAUUAGGGAAGAACAAAUGUGUAAGUAACUAUGCACGUCUUGACGGUACCUAAUCAGAAAGCCACGGCUAACUACGUG
Molecule: ribosomal RNA, 496 nt
Filed under: uncultured bacterium
Lineage: Bacteria
Description: partial 16S ribosomal RNA
Rfam family: Bacterial small subunit ribosomal RNA
Source: RNAcentral